Agrilus planipennis (emerald ash borer) is the source of this 315-nucleotide long non-coding RNA. RefSeq lists it as uncharacterized. The record is from RefSeq and is a predicted model, not a curated record. The transcript has 4 exons. Lineage: Eukaryota; Metazoa; Arthropoda; Insecta; Coleoptera; Buprestidae.
CCUUCCUGCUACAGUCACGCAUGAUCUGCAUGCUGCGCCGCGCUGCUCUGAGCUUUGAUACCAAGCGAUUUACCCAUUUGUAAUGAAGCAGUUGGUACGUGUUCAUAGUAAAUAGCCGAAGAUGGUGGAAUUAUCGUCAACAUAAUAUGAAUUGGUAGAAGUAUAGAAAAAUUUUCCACUCGUUAUGCGUGAAGAUGUCGUCGAUCCAGGCGCCAGAAAUGAGAAGAAAUUUGCCGAUUUUCUCCCCUGGAUGCAAAAGGCAGCACCUACAGGGACGUUUUCAUGGAAAAGGGAAUCGAUGAGAGUUCACCACCU